This is a long non-coding RNA of Parus major (Great Tit), 2227 nucleotides long. RefSeq lists it as uncharacterized. Lineage: Eukaryota; Metazoa; Chordata; Aves; Passeriformes; Paridae. The record is from RefSeq and is a predicted model, not a curated record. The transcript has 3 exons.
CUGACUGAGGUGGCCAAGGUGGCUCAUGACAGCGUGACCUUCAUCCCCAGAGUGACCAAAUGGCUCAGGUGCCUUCCUUCACAUGCUGCAGAGAAAACAGGAACAGAAAGAAUUGGCUCCAUUCCACCAACAGGACUGGCUAAAUGGUCACAAACCUAUGUUACUCAUAAACAGACAGACUGGACAGCUGGUAAACCACAUAAUUAACUGAGGUCGGUUUAGAACAGAACCAGCUUUCAGAAGAGUACUGAAGGUGAUGGAAAAGGUAGUAUGGAUCCCCCAUGGUCAUUUUUGUGGAUGGACAUGACCCCUGAGGACCCAAGUCAUGUCAGAUUCCUGAGGGCUGCCUGAGCAAGCCACAUCAAACCCUCCUGAGAAGAAGACUAUUUCUCUUCUUGGGCUGCCAUUAUCACUAGAGGGACACAGGAGCAAAAGAGAAAUGUGAAGCCAAACUGCUUUGUAGGUGGGUGAACCCUAAAGAACUCUACAGGAUCAAAAUGUGAAGCCUAAACAUCUGUACAGGAUCAAUCCACCUCUUCAUCAAGUCAUUUUCACAAAAAACUUUGCUCUUGGAGCCACUCUCAGUCUUCUUAUUCAGCACAGCAGGUAGGCACAGGUAAGUGUAUGGAUAGGGUGACUUACUGCACGUGUCCAAGGACCAUUUUCCCUGGUGGAUACUUGACUGUGAAUGCUGCCUUCUGCUUGGCUCAGCUGAAGCACAAUAUAUGAACCCUCUGUCUGAAGGAUGGGGUGUGCCUUGUGUUGCACAAUACCAGGAGGAAAAAUUUAUGAAGAACCUCUUAGGACUUACCUUUUCUACUAUCUGCUGUCUUGUCUCUGCUGCUGCCCUGUGAAAUGAGGCUGUCUGGGAUCCAGAAAGAGAAAGGAAAAGAGAGGGUCUGGAUCUUCCAGGGUUAUAGGUUUCUUUUUCAGUAAAUAAAUCUGCAGAGACUUGUGGCCACCAAAAUGGUAGCUCCUGGUGUCUGGUGGUGUUUGAAUACUAUACCCACUAUGCCUGAAUGAGCAAGUAUUCCCCCAGUUUAUUGUGUUUAGCUCUUCCCUCUUCAGUGGCUUAUGGAAAUUUAUGAUUCUAUGAUUCACAAAGGAAAUAAAAAUACUUCAAUUGGCGUAAUGCAACUAACAUAUAAAGUUUAUAGCAAUCCUUUCAGUAAGUAAAAGCAUGAUUUCAUUGGCCAAUAUUGAAGUAAGUAACUGAGUUUGAUUGCUAAAUCAUCAUGAAUCAUUCAAUUUGGUUUCUUUGAAGAUGUCCUGAAAAUUGCCACUGUAAAACAAUGCAGAGCAUUUGUGGUGUGUUGCUCACAUCACAGGCCAUUGUUUUCAUUGACACUGUAGUCAACGAUUUAAUUAUACCCAUAUCAUCACCAGGCCUUAGGCUUUGAAAAAAAGCAUCCUAAUAGAAGUUGGGUGAAGACCAGUCCACCCCUAGAAAAAUUUGGUUUCAAAAUAGCAGUAUGCCUUGCUAAAAAGCCAUUCUGGGCAGCUGUUUGUGCCUUUGGGCCUUUAUUCAUAGUUCCCAAACUGCUUUAGUGCAGGAGGGCUCUCAAGUCCUGCUCUGUCCAGCAAGGAAGGAGUGGUGAUGAAAGCUUCUCAGCACCAGCCUUCACCCAGAUGUGAACUGCAUCACACUCCCAGAGGUGAGGAAUUCCCUGAGCACAGAGCAUAGGGGUGGGGGUGCAUACCAGUCUCAGAUUGGCUCAAACUGAUAACCUCCUCCAAAAAAAAAUCCCCAAACAAACCCAAACAAGAAACCAAAUGCAGACUGUAAGGCCAAAACCUUUCAAGAACCAAACAAAGGCAGUACAGCGUAGUGCUUUCACAUCCUUAAGGCUUUGGAAAAGCAUAUUGCUUUUAAAGGACAAACACACUAGUGGAAUUCCUGCUCCUUCAUUCUCCUUUUCUGGGCAAGUCCAAAACUAAGAGCCUUUUACUAUCCUCUUAAGGAAGGAAUGUCUUGUGGGAGACGCUUGUUAAAAUCUUGGCAGUGUAUCAUUGCAAUGCACCUUUCCAAACAAACCCACAGACCUUAUGAUUGCUUCAUGGUGUUUAAUGUGUAACGAGGAGUUCUGCUGCUAUUGUAAAAAUACCAGUUGACUUUUAACAGGACCAUUAAUUGAUACAGUAUCUUAUUAGAACUCUUGUUUAAGUGGCAGUAAAAUGUUAAACAUUCUUGAAUGUAUUAAUAAAGAAAGGCAAUUAGACAUGCUUG